Molecule: transfer RNA, 70 nt
Filed under: Sphaerodactylus townsendi
Lineage: Eukaryota; Metazoa; Chordata; Lepidosauria; Squamata; Sphaerodactylidae
Description: tRNA-Ala
Source: RNAcentral
GGCUAUGGCUCAGUGGAAGAGCUUCUCUUUUGCAUGCAGAUGGUCCCAGGUUUACUCCCUGGCAUCUCCA